This is an RNA transcript of Asparagus officinalis (garden asparagus), 2095 nucleotides long. RefSeq lists it as uncharacterized. Lineage: Eukaryota; Viridiplantae; Streptophyta; Magnoliopsida; Asparagales; Asparagaceae. The transcript is spliced from 3 exons. The record is from RefSeq and is a predicted model, not a curated record.
UCCACAAUCUUAGAAGCUUGGUGUAGCUCCUUUAUGUUCCUUAAUUGGAGCUAUUCUUGCCUUUCGUUUCUCCUCCUUGCUAUUUGAUAGUUGUUGAGGUUGGAGGAAUGAAUGCUCACUAUCUUUGUAGUUUCAAGAGUCUGAAUUUUGCUUGUAUGUGGCUUUAUGAUCAAUAAAAGAAUUAUGGGUUUUUUUUUUUCCAUUUGUUUGAUCUGUGCACGAUGUACUCCUUGUAUAUGUGGCGGAGUCUAGGCUUCAUAUGUUGGUGAGAAUCAUUGGAUAAGACUUUAAAGCCUUCGGGUGAAGUUUGCCCAAUUCUCAUACUUUGGCGAAGUUCGCUGAGUCGGUCAAGCGAGGCUCAUUCAGUAUUUGGACUUAAGUGAAGUGCACUAAGUUUGUUGAGCGAAGCUCAUUCAAUCUUUGAGUGAAGUUUGCUAGACUGAUUGGUGAGACUCACUAAAAAAUUUUAAAAUUUUAAAUCUUUGAUUUUUGUGCGAAGUUUGCACGAAGUUCAAAGCAAGAUUCUCGGGAGAAGUUCAAGGUAAAGAUAUCUGGGUGAAGUUCGAUGAAAGCCUAUAAAUAGACUGUUUAUCUUCUUUUCUUCUUCUUCACUCUGUUUUCAAAACCCUAGACCCCUUUAGAAUUUUUGAACCUCCACACUCCUUAACUCUUUGGUUCAAUGGCCGACUGACGUCAACUUACCAAGGGAAAGAACUUCACCGGCGAAUCUCUCGAUCAAAUGCCACCAUGGCAAUGCCGAAGUUAGAGAUGGCCUCAGGUAAACUCGAAACCCAUCAACGGUGAAGUUCUUUGAUUUGCCAAAACAGCACCUUUCAGGCUUGAAUAGUACCUUAGGGCACUUAAAUCUACUUCAUCAUCAAUGGGAGGCUUUCAGGACCAUACUUGAUCUUAUUCAUGGGUUUUGCCGGUGACAGCGAAGUCUUGUUGAUCGCCAUCAAUGGCGUUCUAUAUGGUGAACUUCGCUUUUUGGGUGAAGUUCACUAAUUGGUCCAUUUGGGCUUCUUGAGCGAGCUUUGCCUGAGCGAGGUUCGCUAACUCAGUCCAUUUGGACUCUUGAGCAAAUUUCGUUGUGGGGUUGAAGUUCAAUAGUUAUUAUACGAACUUCACGUACCUCACCAAUACUUAGCCAACUUUAGUGGAGCUAAUAUUGAGAUUGACCUUUGCUAGUGAGCGAACUUCUUCUUGGAAAACUUGUUCCUCCAGAAAAUACACUAUUAGCCCUAGCCGUCGUAACCACUUUAGGCAUAGGACAACAUGAUGGUGGGUGGCUUGAAAUCCAAGGGCUGAUUUUACAAAGAGAGCCGCUUUGGACUCAGCGUUGUUGGUCUCCGCCCUGGUUCUGUUAAAGAGGAAGCUCAUGCCAAUGAGGGGAAAUUGGUAUAGCUUUGCACGAGAUGUUUGAGAUGUCUCGGUUUCCAAUGGGAGAACGACCAUAUGAAGAGUUCUUCCCCAGAAAUGCAGAGUUAAGGACCAUGGAGCACUUCGCUCAUGUUGGUGAGGUGUUUCCGGGAGCUGGUUUGCCACUUUUUCAUUUGUCAUUAGACGGUUGCGCAUGCUACACAUGGCCCCUAUGUUGCCCGCGUGCACUGGCGAAGUACCUUUUCCGGAAUGGAAGUAAAAAGGAAAAGUUGAACCAAUCUCUGUGGCUACUUGGCUUGAAGUAGAGAACAAAGUCUUUAACCACGGUCCAGUUCAUCACACUGCUGACUCGGAUGAGUGUGGGUUUCAUGCUGGGGAUAUCUUUGAGAGUUUUCACCCUCAAGCGAAAGAACUCAUUUCUGCUCGGGCUUUGUCUGCAGUAUUUAUGUCAAUCUGGCUGAAAGGUUGCAUCAUACCCUCUCGGCCAAAGGACUGCGUCUCAAUCAGAGUGCUCUAUCCCGCGACCUUCCUUGCUCAUGGAUACAGCCUGUGUUUGCUUCCUGCUAUGGUCAGCUAUAUUCACUAUGGGCUAAGGGAAUUGGCCACUGAAUAUCUGAAUUAGGAGGAGGGAUGUCCACAAGAGAAAGUUAUUAAAUCAUGGAAUUUUCUUAUUGUUCCCUUGUAUAUUCGCAAUAUAAUUUUUAUUUUACAUGAA